UGAGGAAUAUUGGUCAAUGGGCGUAAGCCUGAACCAGCCAAGUCGCGUGAGGGAAGACGGCCCUACGGGUUGUAAACCUCUUUUGCCGGGGAGCAAGGGACCGGUCGUGCACCGGUUUCGGAGAGUACCCGGAGAAAAAGCAUCGGCUAACUCCGUGCCAGCAGCCGCGGUAAUACGGAGGAUGCGAGCGUUAUCCGGAUUUAUUGGGUUUAAAGGGUGCGUAGGCGGCAGCCUAAGUCAGCGGUAAAAUUGCGGCGCUCAACGCCGCCGAGCCGUUGAAACUGGGCAGCUCGAGUGGGCGAGAAGUAUGCGGAAUGCGUGGUGUAGCGGUGAAAUGCAUAGAUAUCACGCAGAACCCCGAUUGCGAAGGCAGCAUACCGGCGCCCAACUGACGCUGAGGCACGAAAGCGUGGGUAUCGAACAGG
Molecule: ribosomal RNA, 425 nt
Filed under: uncultured bacterium
Lineage: Bacteria
Description: bacterial SSU rRNA
Rfam family: Bacterial small subunit ribosomal RNA
Source: RNAcentral